UAAAAGGGUCUCUGGUAGUUCGA
Molecule: non-coding RNA, 23 nt
Filed under: Arabidopsis thaliana (thale cress)
Lineage: Eukaryota; Viridiplantae; Streptophyta; Magnoliopsida; Brassicales; Brassicaceae
Source: RNAcentral